RNAcentral lists this ribosomal RNA (254 nucleotides) under uncultured bacterium. RNAcentral's name for it is "partial 16S ribosomal RNA". It matches the Rfam family "Bacterial small subunit ribosomal RNA", at positions 524 to 776 of the family's 1533-position model. The record is from RNAcentral.
UACGUAGGGUGCGAGCGUUAAUCGGAAUUACUGGGCGUAAAGCGUGCGCAGGCGGUUCGUUGUGUCGGCGGUGAAAGCCCCGGGCUUAACCUGGGAAUGGCCGUUGAAACUGGCGAACUGGAGUGUGGCAGAGGGGGGUGGAAUUCCGCGUGUAGCAGUGAAAUGCGUAGAGAUGCGGAGGAACACCGAUGGCGAAGGCAGCCCCCUGGGCUAACACUGACGCCUCAGACACGAAAGCGUGGGGAGCAAACAGG